UACGUAGGUGGCAAGCGUUGUCCGGAUUUAUUGGGUUUAAAGGGCGCGUAGGCGGUCUAUUAAGUCAGUGCUGAAAUAUCCCGGCUUAACCGGGAGGGUGGCAUUGAUACUGAUGGACUUGAGUGGAGUCGAGGUAGGCGGAAUUGACGGUGUAGCGGUGAAAUGCUUAGAUAUCGUCAAGAACACCGAUAGUGCAGACAGCUUACUAGGCUCUAACUGACACUGAGGCACGAAAGUGUGGGGAUCAAACAGG
This 253-nucleotide ribosomal RNA is filed under the name uncultured bacterium. Its description in RNAcentral is "partial 16S ribosomal RNA". It matches the Rfam family "Bacterial small subunit ribosomal RNA", at positions 524 to 776 of the family's 1533-position model. The record is from RNAcentral.